GGGUCAGUAGGUUGGUCGUGCCACCGGUACGUACUGGACUCACUGAUUCCUCCUCCCUGAAGAACCGUAAUGCCAUUAAUUUGGUGUUGCGGGGAAACAGGACUGUUACUUUGAAAAAAUUAGAGUGUUUAAAGCAAGCUAACGCUUGAAUACAUUAGCAUGGAAUAAUGAAAUAGGACGAUCGAUCCUAUUUUGUUGGUUUCUAGGAUUGACGUA
RNAcentral lists this ribosomal RNA (216 nucleotides) under Glomeromycotina sp. Its description in RNAcentral is "partial small subunit ribosomal RNA". The stretch from base 75 to 216 matches the Rfam family "Eukaryotic small subunit ribosomal RNA", at positions 721 to 864 of the family's 1831-position model. Lineage: Eukaryota; Fungi; Glomeromycota. The record is from RNAcentral.